CCUACGGGUGGCAGCAGUGAGGAAUAUUGGUCAAUGGGCGCGAGCCUGAACCAGCCAAGUCGCGUGAAGGAUGACUGCCCUACGGGUUGUAAACUUCUUUUAUAAGGGAAUAAAGUGAUGCACGUGUGCCUUUUUGUGUGUACUUUAUGAAUAAGGAUCGGCUAACUCCGUGCCAGCAGCCGCGGUAAUACGGAGGAUACGAGCGUUAUCCGGAUUUAUUGGGUUUAAAGGGUGCGUAGAUGGGUUGUUAAGUCAGGGGUGAAAGUUUGCGGCUCAACCAUAAAAUUGCCAUUGAAACUGGCAGCCUUGAGUACAGGUGAGGUAGGCGGAAUUCGUGGUGUAGCGGUGAAAUGCAUAGAUAUCACGAAGAACUCCGAUUGCGAAGGCAGCUUACCAA
This 397-nucleotide ribosomal RNA is filed under the name uncultured bacterium. RNAcentral's name for it is "partial 16S ribosomal RNA". It matches the Rfam family "Bacterial small subunit ribosomal RNA", at positions 338 to 732 of the family's 1533-position model. The record is from RNAcentral.